RNA transcript from Topomyia yanbarensis, 9540 nucleotides. RefSeq lists it as uncharacterized. The record is from RefSeq and is a predicted model, not a curated record. NCBI's taxonomy places the organism in Eukaryota, Metazoa, Arthropoda, Insecta, Diptera, Culicidae. The transcript has 2 exons.
UUGUUUAUGCUUAUUUUUUUUAAAUUGUGUUGUAGUUUCGUUUCGGCGGCAGAAACUUGUUUUUGUCCGUUUCAUGCUUUUCUUCUGUUUAUGCGUUUGACCACAAAAAAGAUCUGAAAAGAGCGCGCGCGGGAGAUGUUAUUGUUUAGCACACACUGUUAUAUAUCUAGCCAAAUAUUUAAAAAAGGGCGUAUCUGCAAAACCCAAACAUUGAGAAAAAUGUAAAGGGUUUGGUCAAAUUGCUUCUACUUGUACCACCCAACACAAGAAAAUACUUUUCGGGUUUGAUAUUACACCGACAGCAAGAAGAAUUAAAUAAAAUCUGAUUUGAUGGCCAGAUUUGCCCUAUUGAACAUCUUAAAAUCGCAUAGGCCCUGCAUGUAAAUCGUAGAAAAGUUGGGUUUAGAGCAGUUCCAGUUCUAGUAAUUCAUUGAAUAGGUGUUGCGUUGUUUUUCCAAUCAGUUAUAAUGCAAUAACCCUUUGAACUGAGUGUAUUGCUAGUUAGAUCCUUUUAAAUCAGUUAGGCAUUUUUGAAAUCAGUUAGGCCUAUUUAAAACCAGUUAGGUCACAAAAAUCUGAUAAUUUGUGAUAAAAUCGUUAUCCAAAUUCUUCAUAAGAGACCAUCCAUAAAUGAGCAUUGCAUGGGGGAGGGGGGAGUUUUGUAUUUUGUAAUGAUGUGUGACGACAGGGGAUAGGGGUCAUGUCAUGCUACGUAGCUUUUCAAAGGGGAAUUGGGGUUGACAUGAUGUCACGACAACCUUACCCGUUUCAUCUAACUAUCAUCGUUCUUCAUUUUUUAAAUUUUUGCGUGACAAGCGAGGGGUAGGGUUACCGUCAAGCUACGUAAUUGCGUAAAUGACCGCGUUCAGUUAGAUAUCUUUUAAUGAAUUCAGUUUGUUUACAUUUUGUAUUUAGGUUCUUUUCAAACGUUUGGCUAGAUAUAUAGUACUGAAGAAUGGCAAUGAAAAGUUUUCACAUAGUUUACUGUUUCGUGGAAUUUGAACCAAUGAAGAAAAUUGGAAUGGCUUUUGCAUUUAAGCGGUAAAUGUACCUCGCGUAAAAAGCAGCGUGAAUAUUGGUGGUAUAACGACGGUAAUGCAGUGUGUCAUUUUAUCAUGUUGAGGCUUUCUUUGGUGAACGUUGGCCUAUCUUCGUAAACACUACUUGGAUAUUUAAUUCAUAUUAACUUUUAGGCGGAUUUAAACAUUUUGUUAGCAUGCUCUUCUUCUCGCUGAUUUCUCUUAAUAUGCUAUAGUUUCAGCAACAAAAACAUUAACGAUCGCUAACUACGAAAGGUAACGAUGUGGUCUAACGCAUGUUUUUAAUAAAAUAUAAGUCUAGCACAGUAAUAAACGAAAAAUGUUCGUCUACAAAAAUCUUUAGCCGUUUAAAGAAUUAAUGUUGAAAUGUUUAGAAAAACUUUAUGAAAAAAGUUUGAGACAUGUAUUUCCGACGUUAGAUCGGUAAAUAUGAUCAAACAGACAAAUAUAAUAUUGAUCUAAGUACGUAAUAUUUAUUAGAUUUUUCAUAUUCAUAUAUUCUCGUUAUUUAUUUUGUGUUCAUUUAACAACAUAUGUAAUGACAACCUAUUACAGGAUGCUUUCAAUCAAGCCAAGAGAUGCAAGGAAGAUUUCUAAAUCUAUGAAAAUGUUCGACACAUGAAUUUGAUUCGGAAAUUUAUGUUAUUUUCAUUUCUGAAUUCGAGUCGCUUUAAUUUUACUCGAAACUGUCUUUUUCAAAUUGAUAUUGUAAACAUUAGAGCGAACCUAGAGCGACUCGAAUCCAAAAACGAAAUCACUAUUAUCUAGAUAAUUCCGAAAAAAUGCUCGAUGUUGUCGUUUUUUUUGAAAACAGCGUUUCAAUAACUAAAACUUUCGAUCAUGUCCAUAUGAGCCUGCCUAGUCCUAGUUUUCCGUUCUAAGUUUAUAACUGAUUCGCUCUAAAAUACCUAUCCGUCUUUCAAUUUCGUUGCUUUCGUUUCUCUUAGUCUCAAACAAACUAGGUAAAUGCCUAUUAUCCUUCUUAAUAUCAUGAGCUGUUUUUCCAAUUCAAUUACGGUAUCCUACGUACGCAGACGAUGACCAACAGCAUUAUCAUUACUGGGUUUCACGAAUUUUAAACAUUACAAUCUAUUGAUGCAUUUACUGCUACUAAACCAUCGGUUUCUACAUUGCUCUAGUAUUUGCGGUGUUACUAAUGUAAUGCAGCUUUGCCGCAUAAAGCAGACCCUACACGAGACAAGAAUAUUUUUAAUAAAAAUAUUGACAACACUGCUUCAAUACGUCAAUCCCAUUUGAAUUCACCAGAAUUUUUCAAAAUGUGCUUACACGAUCAAUAAAUGGUUUAUUGUCAAUAUUUCUGCUCGUGUUUUAACAGAUAACCAAGAAUCCGAUGCGGCGCAAAGCCGAUCCGCCGUACAGUGAGCACCUUCCACACAAAAGUCGGACAAAACCUUUCUUCACUUGGUUGAAAACCGGUUUUCAUUGAAAACCGGGCUUCGUCUAAUUGGUCACCUGCAACCCGAAAACUGGUUCAUGCACAACUAUAACACAACCAUGCGUCUCCUUCAAACAUCAUGAAAAAAUGCCUUUUUUCAUACCUCCGGGCAGAAAGGGGCACUAUAGCCACCUCAAACAUUCUAAUUUUAAUUUAAUGCACGAUUUAUUAUUUGUUCUCCAUGUCUGAACGAGAAAAAAGAUUUGUAUCGACUAAAUCGAAAGGCACGUAUAAGUCCAGCGAAUAACCAUUCAAAUGAAACCAGUUCGAGCCCAAUCAAAAUCUUAACUAAAAAGAUUUAUUCAUUUGAAUAACAUAGCUUUGAAUACAGUUUUUCUCAGAAUUUAUCAUCUUUUAAAGUUCCAUCAAAAAUCAAACUUUCUUCCUCAAGAUUUAAUAUUUUGAGAAGACUAACCAACCUGUUUACUAACAGAGAAAAAUGUUAAAUGAUAAUUUUGAGGUUUUGUCGACAUUGUACGUCGUCGGAAGCGGCGGCCUCUCGCAAGCAAAUCUGUGAUCCUCUCGUUUGCCAGGAUUACUCAAUUAUAGUAGGGGCUAUCAAUUUACUUAAGCGAUUCGAACCGACAUGGCGUAGUAAUAUUAGACGUACAUGUUAUUUAUUAAUUUGUGAAAAAGAAUAAACUAAUUAUGUUGGACCUUCAGCAGUAACACGGUUCAAAAUUAUGCCGAAUAACCUUACUUCUCACACAGUCUAAAAUUAUGCCUGAUUCAUUGUAGAAAAAAACGGCAAAUGACCUCCAAUCCAAUCACUUCUCAAAAUUAUGCCAAAUGUCCGUUCACGCUAUUUUAGAAAUAUUUCCAAAUGGGCCGUUAUCCUGGAGAUACAAUAAAUUAUGCCAAAUGACCCUCAAUGUGAGAAAUUCGCAAAAUUAUGCCAAAUAACCGUUAUGUCAAAUGUCCGUUAUGCUAAAUGAUCUCCUUGAACUGGAUUCAUCUUUGUCAGAUAAAUUCGAGAACGUUUUUUUCGAUUAUAGAGGUUUUAUCCUUAAAGUCUGUUCUGUUAUGAAAGAUUUCUAACCCUAUGUGCGCGGGGCCGGGACUCGAACACAGGUGCGCUGCGUACAAUGCAAUCGAUUUACCAACUACGAUACACCCACCCCCCAAUCCGAGAUUGUGUUUUACAAUGGGAUGAGAUUUCGGUUUGACGAUUUCUGCAUUUCCACAAAAGUGCGUUUGGAUCGCUCUUUUGGGGUAACCCAGCUGUUCGGCCAUCUAUGGAAGCUGACCUUCAAUGUCAGCUUCCCUCUUCGAGCAGAUCGACCUAGAUAAGCCAUGUAAUGUCGGUGUGGUAGUGGUUGUUUCAACCGGCUAUGAAUUACACUACGGACUACCUGAUCCGGUUGUAAAAACCCACCAAACGGGGAACUGGCUGGGGGCUUACUGAGACUUUCGGCUGAUGGUAGUUCGGUGAAGUCUGAUUUGAUUAUCGAAUUUCAAUACGUACAGACGAACCUGUCCAGAGGGCGCGUGGUAUACGGCUUAGAAUUGAACCACUGAGUUUCUGCUCCCAUGUCAUAAGAGGCGACUGAAAGGAGUCCCUAAGUCAAGGUGUACUUCCGUACCUUGAUGGCUGGAGGGUCUAAAAUAUGCUAGUCGCGCACGGAGUCUGUAAAUUAGAGCCACUUUGCUGAGUUAUCAGUUGAAAAAUUUUACUGCGGAAAUUACCGAACGAAAUUAAGUGUGUACAGCUUUCAAUGCAUUGGUUCAUGAAGCAUACUUCUAUAAACUUCUAUAUUGGAAAUUUACUUAACACUGUCUUCAAUGCUUACAAAAAGACAGGUAUGUCUAACCCACGUGAAAUGCCUCGUUUUUACAUUCUUGAAUAUAAGGCUUUUACGCGUGUUUCAUAUCGGAGCCCACAACUCGCGAUAUCUGUGCAGUCGCAGUUACACCGACUGUCGGUAGCAGACAAAACGUAUGUAUUGUUCAGCAUAUCUACCGCUGAUCUGAUGAUUUCAAAAGCGUUGUAUCAUAUUGUAGCAGAAAUAGGCUUCCGCUCAUUAUCGGCAGUGGCGCAAUAAUGCUCAUCACAUCAUUUGGGGCAGCUCAGAUAUUAAUCCAAAAGGCUCUGAACUGAUGAAGUACAUAAGUAAUACAAAUCUCCAUAUUGUGAAUGUGGCAAACCGACCUACUUUUGCGAGGUUUGGGAGAGAGGUGUUAGACAUAACGCUUGGCUCUGAAAGAAUUUCGCAUGAACUAGGGAAGUGGCAGGUUUCAAAUGAAACUGAACCGUCUCUAUCCGAUCAUAAAUAUAUAUUUUUCGAUCAUCUUGAUGUCGACCUCGAUGUGGUAGUAUAUCGUAAUCCAAAAUCUACAAACUGGGACCUCUUUUUGAAAAACAACUUGGCAACAAAAUUUCAUUGGAUGACGUCGUGGAUAUGACAAACUCAACCACUUCGAACUGUUAAAUCGACUAGGGGAACUCCAUGAUGUAGGGUUGAGCUUGUAAGAAUAAAGAAGGAUAUGAGAAGAGCUUGGAAUCGCCACCAGCGUGACACGACUUUCACUGCAGAGCGGGCUGGCUGGCAAAAACCUAUGUACUAAUGUCUCUAGUUUGAACGGGUCUAGCAGGUUAGAUAAAAUUCUCUCAAAAUCGAAAGAUUUUCAGAUGAACCACUUAAAAACCGGAGAUGGUAUUUAUGUGACGGAUGAAAAAGAUAUUCUGAAUUGUCUCUUCGACGCACACUGUUCAGGUUGUAUCAAACCAGAGCUGAACAAUGUUCACAGAUCUCAAAUAAGAAAAGAUGGAAUAUUUCCAAAUAGGUGUUCAUAUUCUCAAACAUGUCAUGGAAAGGAUUAUGCUUUCCAGUCUUGCUACCGGGUAUAUCCCGAAAUCAUGGUGAGAAAUAGCUUUUAGAUUUAUUCCCAAAAGGGGGCGCUCCAGCUAUGAAGAAGCCAAGAGUUUUAGGCCUAUCAACUUAAUUUCUUUUCUUCUAAGAACUGUGGAACGGAUAAUCGAUCAUCGCACUAAGAACGUUAGUUUAGUUGAGCAUCCACUGCACAACCGUGCCCAGUGAUUUCGAAAAAUCUCCCACAUUUUUCGAAACGCUACUUGCAGCAUACUGACCAAGGCUUUAACCGGCCACUGUAAACUCCAUUUUCACAUGGCAACAAUUCAGCGCGCUGAGUUUUUUUCAUGUGAUCUUUGUGAAUCUGACUGUGGAACCUCAUAUCAUUUGAUAUGCAACUGCCCAGCAGUAGCGCAAUUGCGAUUGCGAGUUUUUUGUCGUCAGAGACAUACUAAAGUUCCUUAACCAAUGUGGUAAAGAGCUUUGGGCUUACUUGCAGGCAAUUUUAACUCCUGAGUUUAAUUUACCUGCUGUUUGUUUUUGUGCUGUUAUUUUUCCACCCUGCCAAUUCUACUUCCUUCGUCCUCCUCAUUUUCUUCCGCUCAGGAAACGAUGAAAAUACAUGGCAAGACACGAAUCCGCGACUACAUACGGAGAACGUGGCAUUUUAGCCAAUAUAUUCUGAUUCCUGACAGAAGGUUUAUUUUGUACCGUCUCGUUUUUGCGUAGGAGGCGGGGCAUUUCUUCCUUGUCACACCAAGAGUAAGUAUAUAACCGUUAUCUCCUUCCGAGCUGUAUUCGUCAUCGUCAGGUAAAUCCGAGAACGUGUUUUGCAAUGGGAUCGGAUUUCGGUUUGACGAUUUCAGUGUUUCCGUGAAAGUGCGUUCGGAUUGCUCUUUUGGGGAACGCUUGAGCGUAUCCCAGCGUAUCCUAUACGUUGCGCACUCACGCGUAGUGUGAGAAUUACCACCACAAAGAAGACAUUUUUCAUUCUCCUUUGUGCAUGAAUCAUUCUUGUGUGCACCACCGCACUUUGAGCGUUUUAAUUUACUAAAACAGUAGGUGCUCGUGUGGCUCAUCUUUUUGCAAUUAGUGUUCACGAUUCUGGGAACGUAUAUUUGUCUGUCAGUGCGUAAUUGCGCAGAGCAGUACCUUCAUAAGUCAGCCGACAGGGAUUUAGAGUGCUAAUUAUUGCCGUCAGGCGCAGGCCACGAUUCUAGAACUAUUAAAUAGUUCUAAAAUCGUGGCCUGUGCCUCACACUGAGUUUAAUUCAUUUACCUUCAAAAAUACCCAUCCCCUUUUGCAGAUCAGCAAGAGCUAAAGAUUCCUCGUUUGCCACGCCGCCUAUUUCGAUGACGUUCGCCGGAAUAUAUAGCAGAAAUUCGAUACUGAAUCGCGGGUCAUUCACAACCGCAUUAGUCUGAAUUCGAUCAGAAAGAAUAACGCGAAGCUUAUUUGUGUGUACUCUAGUCAUUUCGCGUACGCAAGCGAAAUUGUGUGAGCAAUUUCACGGAACCUAGCGAAAUUAGCAGUCAAGUCUGCUGAUUCAUGCCACCCGUAGUGGUUUUCCUUUGAGUCUGAAGAAAAUGAUCCAUUUAUCGACCGGCCGAUCGAUGUAUUGUCAGACGCGUAUUGAAUAAACGUUGAUUCUUGUUCUGUUGGGGAGAAAUUUUAUCUUGAUUAGGGUUUUGGGUGAUCGGGAGAAGAUAACUGCUGAAUUCUACAGGCAGCAAAAAGAUUUGUAGGUUCAAUAAAAAUAUGAAUGAAUUUUUUUCUCCACCAUAAUAUUUGUACAUCGCCUGCUCUAAAAUAUGUAUGUCACCAUAAACCGUAUUGUUCUUGAAUGGUAAUGUUGUCGAGACGUAUAUGUAAAAAGCAUAUUUUAGUAGGAUGACCAUUCUUAACUCGUUUGUAUGGUCGAGUAUGUAAAAACAAUAAAAUGAUUAUGUUCGAGAUUGGAUACCAGGCAAUGGAUAUUCUAUUGUUGAUCAAAUCAUAUUGGAAAUGGUUUUUAAACGUUUGAUAGAAUGAUUGGUAUAUGGUAUACAUUUUUGCGGGUGGUUCUUAUAUUUACAAUAUGUAAACCAUGACAAUAAAUAUAAAUAUUCAGCGUCCGUCGGAUCUACAGAUUUGCACGCAACAUUUAACCUUCCAAUUUUAGCAGUGUUGCAAGCCUACCAAUUUUACCAGUGUUGCACAUUGUCCUAGGCUGCAACAUAAAGUAUUUUUCUGCAUUUCCUUGAGGAAGUCUUCACUUUUUCAACAAUAUCAUUUCUAAAGACUCGCGUUGAAAUUAUUCAGAGUUAUGGACCGUAAUAAUUUGAGCUAAAAAUCUAGUUAAAAAAACAACUGGUUAUUUGCUGUGAAGUUUUUUUUUCAUUCACGUUCAUUGUUUAAUCUAACAAUAUAUUCUAAACAUGUUUUGUUAUUUUGUACCACGUAUUCAUAAAAUGUCUUAGAACAUAAAAAACUCAUUUCAUUCAGGUUGAAUAAGAAAAAAAAGGAGUAGAAUCGGUGUUACAAACAAUAGCCAGUUACAAAAAACUAAAAACGCUGAUCGUCGAUUCAACUAGAACCGAACAACGUCUACGUGACAGAACUUACUGCCUAUCAGUCAAAUUCUCUGUUCAUUUCAUACUAAAAUACCCAUACCGAAUGACCGUUCAAGUUGAAGCCUCUAAAUAAACAAACGAACAACUCAUUUCAGUAAAAAAAACUAUACAAAUUAAAAAAAACCAAUUGCAGUCAAUAUCGUUUCUCGUUUGCAGUAAUAUUGUGUUCAGUGUAUAUCUAAAAAAAUCCAUACGUACAUCACCCAUUGUCAAUCAAAAUUCAAUUGAUGCUAAAAAAACAAGAUUCUCCACCGUACCGCUGACUUUUGUCGAAAGGAUUCGAAACUCACACUGUUCUAGUUUAUUGCAGAUAAUGCAAUUCUUGUGGUUAUAUUUAACAAACGAAGUUACAAAAGAACAAAAUUAGAACUAUCAGUUGUGGCAUAUACAAAAAAUACAUACGAAUGGCACUAUAAUAUCUUACAUCGAAUCAAAAUUGGCAUUUCCCAAUGUCCUUCUGUAUAAUAAAGUUGGGUAAUAAUUAUUGAAAAACAACCCCGUAAUAGCGAGAAUGUCUUAGAAGAAUUCCUACAGUAAGAUUCAAAUCUCAAUUUUGUUUCAUUCAUGUCGUUUAAGGUCCAUCUAGUGUGAUUAUAUGCUGUGUGUAAAAUAUGUUUAAUCGAGAGAACUAACGCAGCUAACCCUGGAUUGGUUUUGCGUGUUUUGAAUGUUCAUAUCAUUUUUAACGCGCUUAACAUCGCCAAUUCAUAACAUAACUGAAAUAUUAGGUUUGUUCCAUCAGUGCUCCAAAGCAAAUAGAGAGAAAAUCUUCAGUAAAAUUCCCAAGCUCCCGUCUACGGAACAGAACGUCGACGUCACUUCACCGUUCCGUCAGUUUAAGUUGAAUGCAUUUCAGACGUUCCGUAUCUCAAAAAGCCCCGUGCAUUUAUUUCGUGUGUGAACUAAGACGACGGAUCGUGUAAGUUGCACUUUAAUCUAGUAUUUAACGGAGUCUUCUCUUUUUCUGCUAACAAGACGGGAGUAAUAAUGAGCGAGUUUUUUCUGCUUUCUUUGCUGCUGAGAAUCUGAGAGCAGGAAGCAAGAACUGGAUCAAAGUUAUAUUCUUUCUGCCACUUCACUUCGUAGUGGAUUGGUACAAUCAAAACAUGGCACGAAACUUCAUAGCGUGGCGCUGUUUUAAUACGAAUGCUCAAUGAAAUACCCAUACUACUGCAAAUGGUUGAUGCUUACUGCACCUUUCUGUGCCAUGCAACGUCUCGCUGGAAUGAAUGCUCCGCAUGCUUGCCUGCGCAGUCUCGCAUUGCAUCAAACUAUCACUGGGUUUGUGUUUCCCCUCCGUCUUCGCAGAUUGACAGUGUUGUCACUCGUGAAGCAGUAAACUUAAACAAGACUAAUGAAAACUGCAUAUUUUUAUGUAGGCUGGUUGAAAAGAUCGCCAUUUUUCUAUUUUUCAUAGUGCAUUCGAAUCACCACAACACGGUAGAAAAAAUCCCACAGCUGUUCUAACUUUGUUCUUUUGCGCGGACAGUGCCGAGUCUGGUGAAGGAAAAACGUCUCCCGAGCCAUUACCUGCUGAGGAGAUCAUCCUCGCACCUUCUGAGCCUGUGGAUUCCUGUCGGUCAGAGAACGAGUUCAAAACUCCCGAACCUGUGGAUUCCAA